Molecule: ribosomal RNA, 497 nt
Filed under: uncultured bacterium
Lineage: Bacteria
Description: partial 16S ribosomal RNA
Rfam family: Bacterial small subunit ribosomal RNA
Source: RNAcentral
GAUGAACGCUGGCGGCGUGCCUAAUACAUGCAAGUCGAGCGAACAGACGAGGAGCUUGCUCCUCUGACGUUAGCGGCGGACGGGUGAGUAACACGUGGAUAACCUACCUAUAAGACUGGGAUAACUUCGGGAAACCGGAGCUAAUACCGGAUAAUAUAUUGAACCGCAUGGUUCAAUAGUGAAAGACGGUUUUGCUGUCACUUAUAGAUGGAUCCGCGCCGCAUUAGCUAGUUGGUAAGGUAACGGCUUACCAAGGCAACGAUGCGUAGCCGACCUGAGAGGGUGAUCGGCCACACUGGAACUGAGACACGGUCCAGACUCCUACGGGAGGCAGCAGUAGGGAAUCUUCCGCAAUGGGCGAAAGCCUGACGGAGCAACGCCGCGUGAGUGAUGAAGGUUUUCGGAUCGUAAAACUCUGUUAUUAGGGAAGAACAAAUGUGUAAGUAACUAUGCACGUCUUGACGAUACCUAAUCAGAAAGCCACGGCUAACUACGUG